GGGGAUAUAGUUCAGUGGGAGAAUGCUUGACUGGCAGUCAAGAGGUCAGGGGUUCGAAUCCCCUUAUCUCCACCA
This 75-nucleotide transfer RNA is filed under the name Clostridium sp. Its description in RNAcentral is "tRNA-Ala". It matches the Rfam family "tRNA". From Rfam's summary of the family: Transfer RNA (tRNA) molecules are approximately 80 nucleotides in length. Their secondary structure includes four short double-helical elements and three loops (D, anti-codon, and T loops). Lineage: Bacteria; Bacillati; Bacillota; Clostridia; Eubacteriales; Clostridiaceae. RNAcentral also lists the same sequence under 6 other names. The record is from RNAcentral.